GCCUGUGUGCAUCAUUCAAAAUUAGAGAAUGUAAUUUUGAAGUAUCAAGUCUCAAUUCAAGAUUAUGAAUGAAUAGAAUAUAGUAUUACGGAAAGGGAGGGGGGAGGGUGUAGGACCUUUAUCGGAACUGCGGGAUCGGGUGUUUUUAAGCUCGGGAUUUCGGGAUUGACCCUUCCGGGAUCCGGGAAUUCUAUUUCCGAAUUUAGGUAGUCGGGAUUUAAUUUUUUUUUUAAUUCGGGACCUCGCCGGAUUUCGUGUUUUUAGGCCCGGGAUUUCGGGAUCUGGAUCCCUCCUUCCCUCCCCCCUCUAUUAUGGUUAAAGAAAAGAGGUCAGGGAAGUUUUGUGAUACUUGUAACUGCAAUUUAAUAUUUCGUGGAAUGAGAGGUGAAAUGUGUUCAGACUAUUACAUUUUGAUUUUUUUUAAAAUUU
RNAcentral lists this long non-coding RNA (429 nucleotides) under Mytilus galloprovincialis (Mediterranean mussel). The record is from RNAcentral. Lineage: Eukaryota; Metazoa; Mollusca; Bivalvia; Mytilida; Mytilidae.